CUUGGUCAUUUAGAGGAAGUAAAAGUCGUAACAAGGUUUCCGUAGGUGAACCUGCGGAAGGAUCAUUCAUAAUAAGUGUUUUAUGGCACUUUUUAAAUCCAUAUCCACCUUGUGUGCAAUGUCAGUCGAUCUUCUUUAUGGAGAUCGGCCAAACAUCAACCAUAUCUUUUAACUCUUUGUCUGAAAAAUAUUAUGAAUAAACAAUUCAAAAUACAACUUUCAACAACGGAUCUCUUGGCUCUCGCAUCGAUGAAGAACGCAGCGAAAUGCGAUACGUAAUGUGAAUUGCAGAAUUCAGUGAAUCAUCGAAUCUUUGAACGCAUAUUGCGCUCUUUGGUAUUCCGAAGAGCAUGCUUGUUUGAGUAUCAGUAAACACCUCAAAGCUUUUGAUUUUUUUUUGAAAGCUUUGGACUUGAGCAAUCCCAACACCAGUCUUUUUUAGAUCGGAGGCGGGUUGCUUGAAAUGCAGGUGCAGCUGGACAUUCUCCUGAGCUAAAAGCAUAUUCAUUUAGUCCCGUCAAACGGAUUAUUACUUUUGCUGCAGCUAACAUAAAGGGAGUUUGACCGUAUUGGCUGACUGAUGCAGGAUUUCACAGGGGUCGGCAACGACGCUUGUUAAACUCGAUCUCAAAUCAAGUAAGACUACCCGCUGAACUUAAGCAUAUCAAUAAGCGGAGGA
RNAcentral lists this ribosomal RNA (679 nucleotides) under uncultured fungus. RNAcentral's name for it is "eukaryotic LSU rRNA". The stretch from base 215 to 368 matches the Rfam family "5.8S ribosomal RNA". The record is from RNAcentral. Lineage: Eukaryota; Fungi.